GAUGAAGAACGUAGCGAAAUGCGAUAAGUAAUGUGAAUUGCAGAAUUCAGUGAAUCAUCGAAUCUUUGAACGCACAUUGCGCCCGCUAGUAUUCUGGCGGGCAUGCCUGUCCGAGCGUCAUUUCAACCCUCAAGCCCCCGGGCUUGGUGUUGGGGAUCGGCGAGCCUCCGCGCCCGCCGUCCCCUAAAUCUAGUGGCGGUCUCGCUGUAGCUUCCUCUGCGUAGUAGCACACCUCGCACUGGGAAACAGCGCGGCCACGCCGUUAAACCCCCAACUUCUGAACGUUGACCUCGAAUCAGGUAGGACUACCCGCUGAACUUAAGCAUAUCAAUAAGCGGAGGA
RNAcentral lists this unclassified non-coding RNA (342 nucleotides) under soil metagenome. Its description in RNAcentral is "partial contains 5.8S ribosomal RNA, internal transcribed spacer 2, and large subunit ribosomal RNA". The stretch from base 1 to 120 matches the Rfam family "5.8S ribosomal RNA", at positions 35 to 154 of the family's 154-position model. The record is from RNAcentral.